AGCUCUCUCAUAACUUCCUUGCACUCAGGAACCUUUUCCUUCUUCAUGAAGGAGAGAGGAUUGGCUUGGCGGACGGGAUUGGUGAUUCCACUGUUGCUGGUGAUGCUCACUCGAGACUUGUGCGCAUACCCUCCCUCCGUCACCUCAUCGCAGUCCGAAUCGCUGCUCUUCUCCAGCGACACCUCGCACACAUCUUCCUCGUGGUCGCCGUCCGCCUCGAUGUUAAUUGGACACGGCAUGUGUCGCAAUACACCUUCCCUUCCACGAAGAACCGAUCCUUCUUGCAGGCUGCCAGGUUAAGAAGCGACAUGAAGCAAAGGGCUGAAACAAGCAUGAUUGCGGAUUUUGCCAUUGUUUUUGUUUUUUCUUCUUCUUCUUCUUCUUUGCUUGUUCGCUCUUUUGGCUUUUGAUUGAGAGGUGUGGAUGAAGAUGGAGAAUGAACUGCUGUUUUUAUAGCUCUAUUUUGGGGUUCAAUUCGUUACUCGAUUGCUAUUCUUAGGAGCUUAGAAAUGAUUUCUUGUUAUUAAUUUGUUGCCAAAAAAUUAGGCUUCCCUCUUUGAUUGAGUCAAAUUGUAAAAAUGUUUGGAAAAAACAAUCAUUUCUUUACUCUA
This is a long non-coding RNA of Cucurbita maxima (winter squash), 611 nucleotides long. RefSeq lists it as uncharacterized. The transcript is spliced from 2 exons. NCBI's taxonomy places the organism in Eukaryota, Viridiplantae, Streptophyta, Magnoliopsida, Cucurbitales, Cucurbitaceae. The record is from RefSeq and is a predicted model, not a curated record.